CGCGGCCUAUCAGCUUGUUGGUGGGGUGACGGCCUACCAAGGCGACGACGGGUAGCCGGCCUGAGAGGGUGUCCGGCCACACUGGGACUGAGAUACGGCCCAGACUCCUACGGGAGGCAGCAGUGGGGAAUAUUGCACAAUGGGCGCAAGCCUGAUGCAGCGACGCCGCGUGGGGGAUGACGGCCUUCGGGUUGUAAACCUCUUUCACCAUCGACGAAGGUCCGGGUUUUCUCGGAUUGACGGUAGGUGGAGAAGAAGCACCGGCCAACUACGUGCCAGCAGCCGCGGUAAUACGUAGGGUGCGAGCGUUGUCCGGAAUUACUGGGCGUAAAGAGCUCGUAGGUGGUUUGUCACGUUGUUCGUGAAAUCUCACGGCUUAACUGUGAGCGUGCGGGCGAUACGGGCAGACUGGAGUACUGCAGGGGAGACUGGAAUUCCUGGUGUAGCGGUGGAAUGCGCAGAUAUCAGGAGGAACACCGGUGGCGAAGGCGGGUCUCUGGGCAGUAACUGACACUGAGGAGCGAAAGCGUGGGGAGCGAACAGGAUUAGAUACCCUGGUAGUCCACGCCGUAAACGGUGGGUACUAGGUGUGGGUUUCCUUCCUUGGAAUCCGUGCCGUAGCUAACGCAUUAAGUACCCCGCCUGGGGAGUACGG
RNAcentral lists this ribosomal RNA (655 nucleotides) under uncultured bacterium. RNAcentral describes it as "bacterial SSU rRNA". It matches the Rfam family "Bacterial small subunit ribosomal RNA", at positions 232 to 885 of the family's 1533-position model. The record is from RNAcentral.